Molecule: transfer RNA, 69 nt
Filed under: Manis pentadactyla (Chinese pangolin)
Lineage: Eukaryota; Metazoa; Chordata; Mammalia; Pholidota; Manidae
Also listed under: 1 other name
Description: tRNA-Gly
Source: RNAcentral
GUUUUCUAAGUAUGUACAGUACAGUUGACUUCCAAUUAACAAGCUCUGGUCAAAGCCCAGAAGAAAACA